UUAAAUUGAAGAGUUUGAUCAUGGCUCAGAUUGAACGCUGGCGGCAGGCCUAACACAUGCAAGUCGAACGGUAACAGGAAGCAGCUUGCUGCUUUGCUGACGAGUGGCGGACGGGUGAGUAAUGUCUGGGAAACUGCCUGAUGGAGGGGGAUAACUACUGGAAACGGUGGCUAAUACCGCAUAACGUCGCAAGACCAAAGAGGGGGACCUUCGGGCCUCUUGCCAUCAGAUGUGCCCAGAUGGGAUUAGCUAGUUGGUGAGGUAACGGCUCACCAAGGCGACGAUCCCUAGCUGGUCUGAGAGGAUGACCAGCCACACUGGAACUGAGACACGGUCCAGACUCCUACGGGAGGCAGCAGUGGGGAAUAUUGCACAAUGGGCGCAAGCCUGAUGCAGCCAUGCCGCGUGUAUGAAGAAGGCCUUCGGGUUGUAAAGUACUUUCAGCGGGGAGGAAGGUGUUGUGGUUAAUAACCGCAGCAAUUGACGUUACCCGCAGAAGAAGCACCGGCUAACUCCGUGCCAGCAGCCGCGGUAAUACGGAGGGUGCAAGCGUUAAUCGGAAUUACUGGGCGUAAAGCGCACGCAGGCGGUCUGUCAAGUCGGAUGUGAAAUCCCCGGGCUCAACCUGGGAACUGCAUUCGAAACUGGCAGGCUUGAGUCUUGUAGAGGGGGGUAGAAUUCCAGGUGUAGCGGUGAAAUGCGUAGAGAUCUGGAGGAAUACCGGUGGCGAAGGCGGCCCCCUGGACAAAGACUGACGCUCAGGUGCGAAAGCGUGGGGAGCAAACAGGAUUAGAUACCCUGGUAGUCCACGCCGUAAACGAUGUCUACUUGGAGGUUGUGCCCUUGAGGCGUGGCUUCCGGAGCUAACGCGUUAAGUAGACCGCCUGGGGAGUACGGCCGCAAGGUUAAAACUCAAAUGAAUUGACGGGGGCCCGCACAAGCGGUGGAGCAUGUGGUUUAAUUCGAUGCAACGCGAAGAACCUUACCUGGUCUUGACAUCCACGGAAGUUUUCAGAGAUGAGAAUGUGCCUUCGGGAACCGUGAGACAGGUGCUGCAUGGCUGUCGUCAGCUCGUGUUGUGAAAUGUUGGGUUAAGUCCCGCAACGAGCGCAACCCUUAUCCUUUGUUGCCAGCGGUUAGGCCGGGAACUCAAAGGAGACUGCCAGUGAUAAACUGGAGGAAGGUGGGGAUGACGUCAAGUCAUCAUGGCCCUUACGACCAGGGCUACACACGUGCUACAAUGGCGCAUACAAAGAGAAGCGACCUCGCGAGAGCAAGCGGACCUCAUAAAGUGCGUCGUAGUCCGGAUUGGAGUCUGCAACUCGACUCCAUGAAGUCGGAAUCGCUAGUAAUCGUGGAUCAGAAUGCCACGGUGAAUACGUUCCCGGGCCUUGUACACACCGCCCGUCACACCAUGGGAGUGGGUUGCAAAAGAAGUAGGUAGCUUAACCUUCGGGAGGGCGCUUACCACUUUGUGAUUCAUGACUGGGGUGAAGUCGUAACAAGGUAACCGUAGGGGAACCUGCGGUUGGAUCACCUCCUUACCUUAAAGAAGC
Molecule: ribosomal RNA, 1556 nt
Filed under: Salmonella enterica subsp. enterica serovar Berta str. SA20103550
Lineage: Bacteria; Pseudomonadati; Pseudomonadota; Gammaproteobacteria; Enterobacterales; Enterobacteriaceae
Description: bacterial SSU rRNA
Rfam family: Bacterial small subunit ribosomal RNA
Source: RNAcentral